This 890-nucleotide ribosomal RNA is filed under the name uncultured Candidatus Saccharibacteria bacterium. RNAcentral describes it as "partial 16S ribosomal RNA". The record is from RNAcentral. Lineage: Bacteria; Candidatus Saccharimonadota.
UACCUUGUUACGACUUAACCCCAAUCAUCCCCCCCACCUUAGGCCGACGAAUCGGACUUCGGGUGUUGGUGACUUUCAUGGUUUGACGGGCGGUGUGUACAAGACCCGGGAACGUAUUCACCGCAGCUAGCUGAUCUGCGAUUACUAGCGAUUCCGACUUCAAAGAGGCGAGUUUCAGCCUCUUAUCCGAACUGAGAUUAGCUUUGAUGCGAUUUGCUCCACCUCGCGGCUUCGCUGCGCAUUGUACUAACCAUUGUAUCGUGUUUCUAGCCCAGGGUGUAAGGGUAAUACUGACCUGACAUCAUCCCCUCCUUCCUCCCCGUUACCGGGGCAGUUUGAAUAGAAAAAUACAACUAUCCACAAGGGUUGCGCUCGUUAAUGGACUUAACCAAACAUCUCACGACACGAGCUGACGACGGCCAUGCAACACCUGUCACUUGGCUCAAUAAAGCACUCUCGCCUUUCGGCAAAAUUCCAAGGAUGUCAAACCCUGGUAAGGUCCUUCGUUUAUCACCGAAUUAAAGAACACGAUCCACCGCUUGUGCGGGUCCCCGUCAAUUCCUUUAUGUUUUAGUCUUGCGACCGUACUCCACCGGCGGGAUACUUAACGCGUUAGCUUCGCUACUGAAGGGGUCGAUACCUCCAACAGCUAGUAUCCAUCGUUUACGGCGUGGACUACCCGGGUAUCUAAUCCGGUUCGCUCCCCACGCUUUCGUGCCUCAGUGUCAGAAAUGGUCCAGUAACCUGCCUACGCCAUUGGUGUUCCUUCUUAUAUCUACGGAUUUCACUCCUACACAAGAAAUUCCAGUUACCUCUACCAUUCUCGAGUUUGCCAGUUUGAUAAUAUUCUGUGAGGUUGAGCCUCCAGAUUUCCCAUCUUGAAUUACAAA